Molecule: transfer RNA, 69 nt
Filed under: Peltonotellus sp.
Lineage: Eukaryota; Metazoa; Arthropoda; Insecta; Hemiptera; Caliscelidae
Description: tRNA-Gln
Source: RNAcentral
UAUAAUUUGAUGUAAGAUGCAUUUAGAAUUUUGAAUUCUAUGGAUUUGGUUUAAUUCCAAAAGUUAUAG